AUGCAGCCGACACUGAAUCCAAACAUUUUUGUUUUGCACUUUUAUCUCUGCAGUUGCGAUGUUUCAUGUUUUUAAUCACGUGAAACAUCUGAACUUAUGAGGCGUGUUGUGGCUGAUAUGAAGCUCUCCUACUCCUCCUUACUUUCACUCUUGAUUCCUCAGACGGUGACGCUGCAGCAAUUUCAGCUGGUUGUGAAACCUGGUAGCUGGUUUUCAGCUGAGCAGAGCGACGUCAUGGCGACAGAAACACUUUCAGAUGAUCUGCAGCCUGUGAAGAGGAGCAGCAGCUUUGAACUUCUGCCACCAAACU
Non-coding RNA from Plectropomus leopardus (leopard coralgrouper), 310 nucleotides. The record is from RefSeq and is a predicted model, not a curated record. NCBI's taxonomy places the organism in Eukaryota, Metazoa, Chordata, Actinopteri, Perciformes, Serranidae.